RNAcentral lists this ribosomal RNA (580 nucleotides) under uncultured bacterium. RNAcentral's name for it is "bacterial SSU rRNA". It matches the Rfam family "Bacterial small subunit ribosomal RNA", at positions 102 to 668 of the family's 1533-position model. The record is from RNAcentral.
ACGGGUGAGUAACACGUAGGUAACCUGCCUAACAGACUGGGAUAACUACCGGAAACGGUAGCUGAGACCGGAUACGACAAUUUGGGGGCAUCCCCGGAUUGAGAAAAGCGGAGCAAUCUGCUGCUGAUAGAUGGACCUGCGGCGCAUUAGCUAGUUGGUGAGGUAGAGGCUCACCAAGGCGACGAUGCGUAGCCGACCUGAGAGGGUGAACGGCCACACUGGGACUGAGACACGGCCCAGACUCCUACGGGAGGCAGCAGUAGGGAAUCUUCGGCAAUGGACGAAAGUCUGACCGAGCAACGCCGCGUGAGUGAUGAAGGUUUUCGGAUCGUAAAACUCUGUUGCCAGGGAAGAAUAGUUAGGCGAGUAACUGCGCUUAGCAUGACGGUACCUGAGAAGAAAGCCCCGGCUAACUACGUGCCAGCAGCCGCGGUAAUACGUAGGGGGCAAGCGUUGUCCGGAAUUAUUGGGCGUAAAGCGCGCGCAGGCGGUUAAGUAAGUCUGGUGUAUAAACCAAGGGCUCAACCUUUGGACGCAUUGGAAACUGUUUGACUGGAGUGUAGGAGAGGAAAGUGGAAUU